This 76-nucleotide transfer RNA is filed under the name Micrococcus endophyticus. Its description in RNAcentral is "tRNA-Arg". It matches the Rfam family "tRNA". From Rfam's summary of the family: Transfer RNA (tRNA) molecules are approximately 80 nucleotides in length. Their secondary structure includes four short double-helical elements and three loops (D, anti-codon, and T loops). Further hydrogen bonds mediate the characteristic L-shaped molecular structure. tRNAs have two regions of fundamental functional importance: the anti-codon, which is responsible for specific mRNA codon recognition, and the 3' end, to which the tRNAs corresponding amino acid is attached (by aminoacyl-tRNA synthetases). tRNAs cope with the degeneracy of the genetic code in two manners: having more than one tRNA (with a specific anti-codon) for a particular amino acid; and 'wobble' base-pairing, i.e. permitting non-standard base-pairing at the 3rd anti-codon position. The record is from RNAcentral. Lineage: Bacteria; Bacillati; Actinomycetota; Actinomycetes; Micrococcales; Micrococcaceae.
GCCUCCGUAGCUCAGGGGAUAGAGCGUCUGCCUCCGGAGCAGAAGGCCGCAGGUUCGAAUCCUGCCGGGGGCACCC